Molecule: ribosomal RNA, 377 nt
Filed under: uncultured eukaryote
Lineage: Eukaryota
Description: partial 18S ribosomal RNA
Rfam family: Eukaryotic small subunit ribosomal RNA
Source: RNAcentral
CAAUAGCGUAUAUUUAAGUUGCUGCAGUUAAAAAGCUCGUAGUUGGAUUUCGGGUGGGAAUGGCCGGUCCGCCGUUUCGGUGUGCACUUGCUACGCCCACCUUGCUGCCGGGGACGUGCCCUUGAGUUCACGCUCGGGACACGGAGUCGGCGAGGUUACUUUGAGUAAAUUAGAGUGUUCAAAGCAGGCCUACGCUCUGAAUACAUUAGCAUGGAAUAACACGAUAGGACUCUGGCCUAUCUUGUUGGUCUGUAGGACCGGAGUAAUGAUUAAGAGGGACAGUCGGGGGCAUUCGUAUUUCAUUGUCAGAGGUGAAAUUCUUGGAUUUAUGAAAGACGAACUACUGCGAAAGCAUUUGCCAAGGAUGUUUUCAUUAA